Molecule: ribosomal RNA, 515 nt
Filed under: uncultured bacterium
Lineage: Bacteria
Description: partial 16S ribosomal RNA
Rfam family: Bacterial small subunit ribosomal RNA
Source: RNAcentral
GAUGAACGCUGGCGGCGUGCCUAAUACAUGCAAGUCGAGCGAAUGGAUUAAGAGCUUGCUCUUAUGAAGUUAGCGGCGGACGGGUGAGUAACACGUGGGUAACCUGCCCAUAAGACUGGGAUAACUCCGGGAAACCGGGGCUAAUACCGGAUAACAUUUUGAACCGCAUGGUUCGAAAUUGAAAGGCGGCUUCGGCUGUCACUUAUGGAUGGACCCGCGUCGCAUUAGCUAGUUGGUGAGGUAACGGCUCACCAAGGCAACGAUGCGUAGCCGACCUGAGGGGGGGAGCGGCCACACUGGGUCUGAGACACGGCCCAGACUCCUACGGGAGGCAGCAGUAGGGAAUCUUCCGCAAUGGACGAAAGUCUGACGGAGCAACGCCGCGUGAGUGAUGAAGGCUUUCGGGUCGUAAAACUCUGUUGUUAGGGAAGAACAAGUGCUAGUUGAAUAAGCUGGCACCUUGACGGUACCUAACCAGAAAGCCACGGCUAACUACGUGCCAGCAGCCGCAGUAA